AUUUGCCUUCAUUCUCUCAUCUGAUUCUCCAGGACCAUGGCCAUACAUGUGCAGAGUACCUGUCUGGAUUCAGAGUACAGUCUGGCCUGCAGGACAUAGGUGCUAAACUGGCACCUACACAUCAAAACCAUAAUCUCUGCCUCACUAGCUCUAUCUAAUCUCCUGAGCUAAACUACGACAGAUAUGCAAACUCAGAUGGGCCUUAGAAGUGAAGCAGGUGCACAUGCAUUGUGGCCUUGCUAGUGGUUUCUACUAGAAGCUUCAUGAAGGGCAAAAGAAGUUGCUAUCUCAUUAUCUGUAGUGAAGUGCUGCUGAAAUGGAAGCUCCAUAAGGGAAAAUGGUGUCUGCAUUGCACGUAGUAGGCCCUCAAUAAACAUGACAUAUGAUGUUUAA
Molecule: long non-coding RNA, 393 nt
Organism: Suricata suricatta (meerkat)
Lineage: Eukaryota; Metazoa; Chordata; Mammalia; Carnivora; Herpestidae
Exons: 2
Source: RefSeq, a predicted model, not a curated record